This is a long non-coding RNA of Mesocricetus auratus (golden hamster), 1530 nucleotides long. RefSeq lists it as uncharacterized. NCBI's taxonomy places the organism in Eukaryota, Metazoa, Chordata, Mammalia, Rodentia, Cricetidae. The record is from RefSeq and is a predicted model, not a curated record. The transcript has 2 exons.
GCCGGUGGAAGGAAGUGACCUCACCAGGGUGCGUGCCUUCCUGGCUCUGCUUCUCCACCCGCCCUGGGAACCGUUUCCCUCUGUCCAGGGGGGUUGAUGCUCAGCCUGGCCCCCAGCUCUCAGAGCAAGCAGCUCACAGAGGUAGACUGGACCGGUCGGCUUCCUCCCUUGCCCCAGAACACACUUCGUUUUUUCUUAGAGGAAGAGGCUUCCAGCUCUCCUGUGUUCUGCUUUCCCAAGGCUGAAGUGACUCCCCGGGAGGCAGAAGUCGGUGGACCUCCCAGCACGUGAAGGAAAUUGUCCCUGGUAUGGCCAUGCCAGUGUCUGACCGCAUCUCCGGUUCCUUGGGAUUUGUCUUGGCCUCCAUUCUUGGGUCUAAUGUCACCCUCAUCAGCUGUUUCUUCCUGAACUCAUCGGCAAGCCAGGGGUUGGAUAAGACCCUCUGAGCAGUCUUAGGGUUCAUCCAGGUUCCUCUUUGUUGUGGCGCCCUGGGGAGAAAGUCCCCUAGGCGAGCUUAGUACCCGCACAGCGGGGCGUGGGGGGCUGUUGUGCAGAGCUCUGCCAGUUGCCGCUUGGGCCAUUCCCUGUGCACUCUGCGGGGAGGAGGAAGACAUCAGGUCUAUCAGCCUUUGUACUAAAAGCUGUAGGCCCAAUACUGAGGUGGUGCACGAAGUUCACAGCCAACCUUUCUGUCUCAGUGACCUGUGAAGCAAGCAGUUACCACCCUCCUGCCUUUAUCAUGUCCAGCUGGGACCUGAUGGGAACUCUGCGCCUGGAGGCCUGGGAGCUUGCCCUUGUCCUGGUCUCUGUUCAACCCUGAUCAAGGCUCUGCCUGGAGUUCCCGCUGCUGUUGCUCCUUAAAUGGACUCAUUGGGCAUUGGGAGUGGGGAGGGGGCGGGGAACCUCAUGGCAACAUUCCAAGUCCCAGGAAAAACGGUUGCCCUGGCACAGGGACACCCGCGACCAAAAUUCAUACGUUAAUCUCCUAACCCCAAAUUCUAGAAUGUAUGAAAAAAUGAGCCCUUUAAAAAACUCAAAAUGAGGCUGUAAGGGUGGGUCCUAACCAAUUUUAGUGGUAUCCUGAGGUGAUAAGGCCCCACAGAGGGUUCCCACGGGCACACUGGCCCAAUGGGGAAGCAUGGAGAGGGCUAACUGUAGGCCCAGGAGGCGGGGCCAUAUGGGACCUUCCUAGAGCUGACUAGGGCUUUGCCCUCAUGGAUGUUACCACCCACGAAGUCUAAAAAUGGAUUACUGCAGUGUCUUAGCAGUGGGGCUGCUGUAAAGGCCAGUUUGGUCGAGUCUUUUGCAUGCAAUGUCCUAUACUGCCCAGGGACUCUGCUAGCAAGGCCACUGGCAAAUGUCAGAGCCAUGAGCCAAAGCAAUACAACUCACACAAGCUGUGGCAUUGUUAUUAGCAACAGAAAAUGCACUCAGACAAGUGUUCAUAUUCGAGGAUCAUAGCCGAAUUCCAGGGGCUCAGAAAAUGGCUUUCUCAUACUUUUCUGUAAAAUAAAAGACUGGACAAGUGGC